RNAcentral lists this ribosomal RNA (253 nucleotides) under uncultured prokaryote. RNAcentral describes it as "partial 16S ribosomal RNA". It matches the Rfam family "Bacterial small subunit ribosomal RNA", at positions 524 to 776 of the family's 1533-position model. The record is from RNAcentral.
UACGAAGGGGGCUAGCGUUGCUCGGAUUGACUGGGCGUAAAGGGCGCGUAGGCGGUUUGUACAGUCAGACGUGAAAUUCCUGGGCGCAACCUGGGGGCUGCGUUUGAUACGUGCGAGCUUGAGUUCGGAAGAGGGUCGUGGAAUUCCCAGUGUAGAGGUGAAAUUCGUAGAUAUUGGGAAGAACACCGGUGGCGAAGGCGGCGACCUGGUCCUUGACUGACGCUGAGGCGCGAAAGCGUGGGGAGCAAACAGG